Molecule: long non-coding RNA, 3505 nt
Filed under: Canis lupus familiaris (dog)
Lineage: Eukaryota; Metazoa; Chordata; Mammalia; Carnivora; Canidae
Description: lncRNA (ENSCAFG00845024740.1)
Source: RNAcentral
UUUUAUUAGUACUGUUUACCAAUGGGGAGAUGCAGUUUAUUUACACCAGCAGCCACAGGGGCAAGGGGAAUACACAGCGAUCUGUAUAGGAUGGACCACUUAUGCAAAAAUAAUAAUCUCCAAAACAAGGGACAGAGGUGAGCCUCACUACACUUUUCCCAUGACCCCAGCAUGCGACAACGCCAGGCACUGGCCCCUGCACAUGCGGUGGCGGGAACUAAUGUACGGAAGAAAAAGCCACGAACCACAGACGUCUGUAAAGAACCCCUUCCCCCCCAUACACACACACACACACACACACACACACACACUCGGAUACGUAAUAGAAUUACAGGGUGAUCGAUAUACUUAAUUGAGGGAGGAAGGAAGGGCAGGAAUUCUGCUGUUCGAGGGAAGGCAGGAAGGGAAAGGGAGAGUUCCUAACCACGGUCAACUACGGGCCGGGAGCACUCCUGCCCCAGAAAAGGAAGGGGUCCGUGUGUCCCCGCAGGGCUCCUGUUGGACCCAGGCCGUUGCCCCAAUAACGGGAAGGCAGAGAACGAAAACCAUGACCAAGAGGGAGGGAAAGCGAAGCAACGGUUACUGAGGAUUGCUUUCCACCUCUCCCUCCCUAACCAGGAGGCUGACCGGCAAGGGGCAAGGGUACAAGGGGUCUCCGUCAGAGCUCCCCCCUCACCUUACCCACAGCUGGUUUCCCUUCUGCCCCUCUGCAGCCCCCUGCGAGGAGAUGGCUACAAAGCCAAGGGCAGAUAACCCCAAAUCGUUUUAACUCUUGCCGAGCUUUAACUUCCUAAAAAGUCAGCAAAAUUCUUGAAGACCAACCGGUAAGGACACCUCAACCUCGGCCAGGACAACUCUGGGGGGAACGCAAUGACCGACAGUCUCGCGGCCCUAUCGCUACGGUUCCCUCGAGGGAUCUGCGUGACACCCAUCGGCCGCAGGGUCCAAGCAGGUCCUCCCGGGAUGAGUAACGGUACCUGCACAGCAAGGGCUGGCAAACCAGACCAGGCCCCGCUCCACCCCUGCGUGUCGCUAGGCGUCCCUGCUCUUCCGCUUAGGCCCCGAGAGGCAGCAUCCCAGUGCAAGGGGGGAGGUGCAGGGGCCCCCGAAAGGAGACCCGCAGGGAGGCAUCCAAGGCAGUCCUGCAGGCAGAUGCCUAGGCGGGGCCCUGCCUUUCCUGCACAAAUCGUUACCGUCUCUCCCAUCUUCAUCCCCACAGAGGAAACCACCUGAAAGGUUCUUCUCUGGAUCUCCCAGAACAAGGAAGGGGAGAGAAAAAAAAAAGAAAGGAAAAACUUGAAAGAAGCCGAUGAGAGGGCACCUGGGCAGGUUGGAGCGGGAGCAUGGAGAGAUGAACUGCAGCUGGCCGGUGUGGAAGCAGGGGAGCCGGCAGCACCUGGGGUCCAGCUGCACUGGACGGGCAGGGGAGCAGGGGACAGUGGGGACACGGGGCGGGCCGGACGGAUGAGGCUGGGCCCCGUGCUGGGGCACAGAAUGAGGUAAGAAAACAUUUCAAAUAAAGCAGCACCGUUCCCGCUCACUUUGGGGUUCUCGCCCCUCUACACUUCCUAAGUCCUCAGCAGGGAGCAAAGUGGAGGGUGGCUUUGAGGCGUGGCUCACGUUUCCCAUCCUGGCCUGUCCCGACCCCGACUGCCCACAAGAAGGCAGCUCUUGUCAGGAAUGUCCAAAAGGGACUGAAUGGAAGGGGCCGCCCCUCCCGAGGGGCAGGGGUGGCGGUGAGGGUCUAGACAGAUGCUCGCAGUCACACGGCUUGGGCUGCCCGGGGAUGCUGCAGUGGGAGGCUAGGCGACCCCUCCCUGCCCCCCCAUCCCGGGUAUGCUGCAGUGGGAGGCCAGGCGACCCCUUCCUGCCCCCCGGCUCCGGGGACUACGCCGUCAACCUGGAGGGCCGCUGGCAGAAGCCACCCUGGGCCCCGCCGUCCAAUCGGUCUGCUGCACAGCCUCUGCGGCACUGGUCAUUGCGGGCCGCCCCCGGGGGCGCAGGAGGCCGGUGGGGACCUGGUGGGCUGCCCGGGCCAGACACCCGAACGGGCGGGCUGGCCGGCCAGGGGCUCAGUGAGCACAGGGGGGCCGCGCACAGCAGCGCAUAUCCGGGCGCGAACCUGCGGAGGGGGUGGGGGGGUAGGGUCGUGCACCGCUGCAGAGGCCCCGGUACCUCCCCAAGGCACCGGGACCAGAGCCUCGGCCUGCCGGGCCACCAGGCUGCCCACCGGACGGGGGGCAAGCGCUCGGCCCUGGUCCCCACGGCGUCCGCGGAGCUGCGGGCGCGGGGACCCCAGGCCGUGGCUAGCGUGGACGUCCUCUCCCGCCUACAGCCGGGGCCGCGAGGCUUCCCCUCCGGGACCGCGCGGCGGUCCUUCUCCUUGGCUUGCCCUGUGUUGGGGCUGGCAACGCCCAGACCUCGCGCCCGCUGACGUCCCGCGUCCGGGAGGAAGCGCCGCAAGAAGUCCCGGCCGGGCUCCUCCCCAGGGCGGCUUGGGGGACCUGAGCACCCGCUGCGCCCCAGCAGCGCGUCGUCUUCGUCGUCUUCUGGGGAGCCUGGGGCCCCAGGCAGGCAGCCCGGUACAGCGCGGCUCCUCCCGCCCGGGCCUCCGGGGCGACUCUGGGGGUCACCCCUGCAGAGUGAUCCCAACCCUUGCGUCCUACAUGCGGGGCCUUCAGAGGCUGGGACGCUCAGCAUGCGGGGCCCUGUCACCUGCCGCGUCUGCGCUCCCCUCCGGGCCGUGUCACUGGCUGUGUCUGUGCGUGUCCCCGUCUUUCGCAGGGAUGCUCUGGGGGUCACCUCCGCCUGGCGAUCCUGGUCCUUGCGUCCUGCACGCGGGGCCUCGAGAGGCUGGGAUGCUCAGCGCGCGCCGGGCCGUAUCACCUGCUGCGUCUGCGCGUCUGUCCCCGUCUGCGCUCUGCACUGGGCUGCCCGCCGUCUCCCGUGAGGCCUCUAGGGGGUCCCCCCCGCACAAAGAUCCGGGCCCUUGCGUCCUGCACGCGGAGCCUCGAGGCUGGGAUGCUCAGCGCGUGGGGCCGUGUCACCUGCUGUAUCUGUCCGUGUCCCCGUCUCCCUUGGGGCCUCCAGGGGUCACCCCCGUACGGCGAUCCGGGCCCUUGGGUCCUGCAUGCGGGGCCUCCAGAGGCUGGGAUGCUCAGUGCGCGCGGGGCCGUGUCACCUGCUGUGUCUGUCCGUGUCCCCGUCUCCCGCGGGGCCCCCGGGGGUCACCUCCGCCCGGCGAUCCGGGCCCUUGGGUCCUGCAUGCGGGACCUCCAGAGGCUGGGAUGCUCAGUGCGCGCGGGGCCGUGUCACCUGCUGUGUCUGUCCGUGUCCCCGUCUCCCGCAGGGCCCCCGGGGGUCACCUCCGCCCGGCGAUCCGUGCCCUUGGGUCCUGCACGCGGGGCCUCGAGAGGCUGGGAUGCUCAGCGCGCACGGGGCCGUGUCACCUGCCGCGUCUGUCCGCGUCCCCCGGGGGCCCCCUCCCCGCCCGGCGAUGUGGGCC